GAGAUGUGCUCAGUGCAGGGAGCCCAAAUAAUGGCUCUUCUGUUUAUAAGGUACCUAGCAGCAUCUUGUGGGUUUUUUUUUGUGAGGAAGAAAAUAAAAAUGUGUAGCAUCCUGUAAAUAAAUGACCUAAAUGC
Molecule: small nucleolar RNA, 134 nt
Organism: Perognathus longimembris pacificus (Pacific pocket mouse)
Lineage: Eukaryota; Metazoa; Chordata; Mammalia; Rodentia; Heteromyidae
Product: small nucleolar RNA SNORA11
Exons: 1
Source: RefSeq, a predicted model, not a curated record